This 496-nucleotide ribosomal RNA is filed under the name uncultured bacterium. RNAcentral describes it as "partial 16S ribosomal RNA". It matches the Rfam family "Bacterial small subunit ribosomal RNA", at positions 29 to 523 of the family's 1533-position model. The record is from RNAcentral.
AUUGAACGCUGGCGGCAUGCUUUACACAUGCAAGUCGAACGGUUGAGGGGGCAACCCCUUGAGAGUGGCGAACGGGUGAGUAAUGCAUCGGAACGUGCCCAGUCGUGGGGGAUGACGCAGCGAAAGCUGUGCUAAUACCGCAUACGAUCUCUGGAUGAAAGCGGGGGACCGAAAGGCCUCGCGCGAUUGGAGCGACCGAUGGCAGAUUAGGUAGUUGGUGGGGUAAAGGCUCACCAAGCCAACGAUCUGUAGCUGGUCUGAGAGGACGAACAGCCACACUGUGACUGAGACACGGCCCAGCCGCCGACGGGAGGCAGCAGUGGGGAAUUUUGGACAAUGGGCGCAAGCCUGAUCCAGCAAUGCCGCGUGCAGGAAGAAGGCCUUCGGGUUGUAAGCUGCUUUUGUACGGAACGAAAAGGUCUGGGUUAAUACCCUGGGCACAUGACGGUACCGUAAGAAUAAGCACCGGCUAACUACGUGCCAGCAGCCGCCGUAA